CCCGCUGAACUUAAGCAUAUCAAUAAGCGGAGGAAAAGAAACUAACAAGGAUUCCCCUAGUAACUGCGAGUGAAGAGGGAAAAGCUCAAAUUUAAAAUCUGGCAGUCUUUGAUUGUCCGAGUUGUAAUUUAGAGAAGUGUUACCCGUGUUGGCCCGUGUACAAGUUUCCUGGAAUGGAACGUCAUAGAGGGUGAGAAUCCCGUCUUUGACACGGACUACCAAUGCAUUGUGGUAUGCUCUCGAAGAGUCGAGUUGUUUGGGAAUGCAGCUCUAAAUGGGUGGUAAAUUCCAUCUAAAGCUAAAUAUUGGGGAGAGACCGAUAGCGAACAAGUACCGUGAGGGAAAGAUGAAAAGAACUUUGGAAAGAGAGUUAAACAGUACGUGAAAUUGCUGAAAGGGAAACGCUUGAAGUCAGUCGCGUUAGUCGGGGAUCAGCCUUCCUUUUGGUUGGUGUACUUCCUGAUUGACGGGUCAGCAUCAGUUUUGACCGGUGGAUAAGAGCUUGAGGAAUGUGGCAGCUUCGGCUGUGUUAUAGCCCCUAGUCGCAUACAGUGGUUGGGAUUGAGGAACUCAGCACGCCGCAAGGCCGGGUUUCGACCACGUUCGUGCUUAGGAUGCUGGCAUAAUGGCUUUAAGCGACCCGUCUUGAAACACGG
RNAcentral lists this ribosomal RNA (656 nucleotides) under uncultured fungus. RNAcentral's name for it is "eukaryotic LSU rRNA". It matches the Rfam family "Eukaryotic large subunit ribosomal RNA", at positions 24 to 664 of the family's 3401-position model. The record is from RNAcentral. Lineage: Eukaryota; Fungi.